This 229-nucleotide ribosomal RNA is filed under the name uncultured bacterium. RNAcentral's name for it is "partial 16S ribosomal RNA". It matches the Rfam family "Bacterial small subunit ribosomal RNA", at positions 28 to 260 of the family's 1533-position model. The record is from RNAcentral.
GAUGACCGCUGACAGAAUGCUUAACACAUGCAAGUCGAUUCGAUUUACCUUCGGGUAUUGAGGAUGGCGGACGGGUGAGUAACGCGUAAGGACCUUGCCUCUUGGACUGGGACAACUGUUGGAAACGACAGCUAAUACCGGAUAUUAUGAGAUUCUCGCAUGGGAAACUUAUGAAAGCUAUAUGCGCCAAGAGAGAGCCUUGCGUUCCAUUAGCUAGUUGGUGGGGUAA